RNAcentral lists this small nuclear RNA (24 nucleotides) under Arabidopsis thaliana (thale cress). RNAcentral's name for it is "snRNA_04354". The record is from RNAcentral. Lineage: Eukaryota; Viridiplantae; Streptophyta; Magnoliopsida; Brassicales; Brassicaceae.
AACUACUCUGUUCUGUUGAUCCAU